GCCCAGGUGGCGGAAUUGGUAGACGCGCUGCGUUCAGGUCGCAGUGGCCGCAAGGUCGUGGAAGUUCGAGUCUUCUCCUGGCACCA
This 86-nucleotide transfer RNA is filed under the name hydrothermal vent metagenome. RNAcentral describes it as "tRNA-Leu-CAG". It matches the Rfam family "tRNA". From Rfam's summary of the family: Transfer RNA (tRNA) molecules are approximately 80 nucleotides in length. Their secondary structure includes four short double-helical elements and three loops (D, anti-codon, and T loops). The record is from RNAcentral.